CAGGCCCUAAACGACGUCGUUUUACGACCUAUAUAUGCAAAAUUUUGAAACCCUAAAAUCAUUUUCCCUCAGCCCCUCUUCUGGUGCGCCGCAAAUUCUCUCAAAGUCUCCUUCUCUGCCGCUCCAACUCCGACCAGACAACGGCGAAAAGAAGCCUUCAAUCGCCUCCAAAAAACGUGGAAUCGGCAUUAUGCGGAGUUGCUGAUCGUGGGUGAAGCGACGUGGGUGAUGGGUGGUUGCUGCAACGUGGGAACGUGCGGCGCUGAGGCUACCUGCUGCUUUAGGGCUUCUGUUACCUUAGGCCAUUUGGGCCUUGUAAUUGGGUUAGGUUGUAAUUUGGGCUUUGGGUCAGUUUUAGUGAGUAUAGUUGGGCCCCGGGCACCAAUUGGGUAUUAAACGGAUAUAACAAGAAGAAGAAGAAGAAGAAGAAGAAGGUAAAAGUCAUUUACCUCUCGUGGAGACGAAAGGCAAGUUCUCUUCCACUGUUACUUCACAAAUCAGACUUUUAUUUAAAGAAAAUGAAAGAAGGGAAUGUAAAUUGUUGCAAAAGUUGAAGAACCAGAGAAAAUAAAAGAAGGGAAAUUAGUAUAAAAGUUUAGAACUAGAGAAAAUGAAAGGGAAAGUAGGAAAAACCAGAGGAAAUUAAAGAAGGGAAACUACUACAAAAGUUUAGAACUAGAGAGAAUGAAAAGGAAAGUAGGAAGAACCAGAGAAGACAAAAGAAGGGAAACUGCUGCAAAAGUUUAGAACUAGAGAAAAUGAAAGGGAAAGUAGGAACUGCUGCAAUAACUUCUUACCAUUGAUGCCUUUAUGAGGAUUGAAAAAGGAAUUCAAUAUUUAAAAGUGUUUUUGGCUCCAGAA
Molecule: long non-coding RNA, 861 nt
Organism: Gossypium raimondii (Peruvian cotton)
Lineage: Eukaryota; Viridiplantae; Streptophyta; Magnoliopsida; Malvales; Malvaceae
Exons: 2
Source: RefSeq, a predicted model, not a curated record